AUUCCACCGCCCCUGUCUUUUCUCCUCCCUUCCCUAAUCUUCCAUGGUCGCCAGAUCCCUCCCUCCACAGCCGGCGCUCCCUGUAAGGCCGCCCGUCCCCUUCGUCACCCACGCCGACGGACGUGCAUGCCCCUGCUCCACCUCACUCCUCCUUCGAAUUCGGCCGUCGAAGUGCUCGAGGAGGCGGUCGAGCUUGGCAUGCUCGCCGGUGACGCCGGCCCCUUACCGCACACGCCGGCUGCCGACCUCUUAGGCGGGCGGCGCACGCCGACCCCAGGAAGAGAGAAGUUCCCGUCCCCAUGGAGAAGCUGUCCACGGAUCCAAAUCUGGAAGCAGAAAGAAAAGAACCUGAUCUUGGAUUUCUUCACUUGCGUUAUUCAGAGUCAUCCUAAUCCACCAUACGUUCCCUUAUUCAACUGGAUGACCGCAGAGACGGGGGAAGGCGGGGUGGUGUUGUGCUGGUGGCCACCGGGAGCUUCAACCUUCCCACCUACAUGCACAGGCAUGUUUGAGGUUGCGAAGGAUGAGUUGCAGCAGCGAGGGUAGUCGGUGCUGGGAUGUUACUGCCUUAAUGGAUACAUGUCCCUGGUGAACCGAUGCUAACAAGAAGAAGGCAAUGCAGAAAGGUCAUCAGCGUACCUUGACCAUUCUCUCAAGAGUUAAGAAUUCUUCUGUGCAAGAACGGCUUAGCUGAUCAAGGAAGUGUCAAGGUAAUGCUGCUAUGUGGUUCUGACCUGCUCGAGUCAUUCAGCAAGCCAGGGGUAUGGAUUCCAGAUCAGGUACAAAACUUGAACACUUUUUGGUACCCAAAGGGGAUGGGAGCAACAAGUCUGAAUCAAAGAUCAAAGGAAGAAGUCGAACCUGAAGAAGUCCUCGGAAGAAUCACAGCUGCGUGUGCCCGGCUGGUUCAGGGGACGCGACAGGCGCUGGCGCCCUGCCCCGGCGGGCGUGUGCGCGGCGGCGUGGGUGCCAGUGCAGGGUGGGCCCGGCGGUGCGGGUGCCGGGGCAGGCUCUCUCCUGGGCACUGGCGAUCUCGCAGGAUGGAUGCCACGCUGCGAGCGGCAACAAUCGGCGAUGGCGAUCGUGCAUGGAGGUGACGGGACGGUGCAGUGCGGCGUGGUCGCCGUGCAGGCAGGAGACGAUAUUGGUGUGCGGCGUAUGUGCCAGGCGGCGAGGUCAAGGUCAAGGGCGUGAAGUUCCCUUAGCUUGCGAUUUGAUUUUCCGUGAUUGUAGGGGACACUGGGCUGGUUGUUAGCUUGCGAUCUGAUUUUCCGUGAUUGUAGGGGACGCUGGGCUGGUUGUUAGUUUGCGAUCUGAUUCCGUGAUUGUAGGGGACGCGCGGGGCUGGUUGUUCGACUACUACUCUCCUGGUGAAGUAUGGUCAGUCAUUGGUAAAUGCUAAGUGCACAGCGUAGAGGUAUUGGAUUAAUGAUGGCUGUUAGAUUGAGACUUGUUGGCCUAAUCGUGUGGUACUGAUUGGCUUGGGCUUAUUGUGGGACUAAUUGCAGGGUGCACGUAAGAAAGUUCUUGUUUGAUUGUUUAAUAGUAGUAGAGAUAGAGACUACAUGGCUGACUUGACCAAACCCGCUCUUGCAAGACUUCAAUUUACCGCAACCUGGUAAAUGAUGAGUAUAAUGAAUGAUGCGCUCAGCA
Triticum aestivum (bread wheat) is the source of this 1653-nucleotide long non-coding RNA. RefSeq lists it as uncharacterized. NCBI's taxonomy places the organism in Eukaryota, Viridiplantae, Streptophyta, Magnoliopsida, Poales, Poaceae. The record is from RefSeq and is a predicted model, not a curated record. The transcript is spliced from 5 exons.